UACGUAGGGUGCAAGCGUUGUCCGGAAUUAUUGGGCGUAAAGAGCUCGUAGGCGGUUUGUCGCGUCUGCUGUGAAAACCCGAGGCUCAACCUCGGGCCUGCAGUGGGUACGGGCAGACUAGAGUGCGGUAGGGGAGAUUGGAAUUCCUGGUGUAGCGGUGGAAUGCGCAGAUAUCAGGAGGAACACCAAUGGCGAAGGCAGAUCUCUGGGCCGUAACUGACGCUGAGGAGCGAAAGCCAGGGGAGCGAACGGG
Molecule: ribosomal RNA, 253 nt
Filed under: uncultured bacterium
Lineage: Bacteria
Description: partial 16S ribosomal RNA
Rfam family: Bacterial small subunit ribosomal RNA
Source: RNAcentral